CAGAGGGAGUAUUUAACUUGUUGCAUAUAAUAAAUUUGGAAAUGUCCAAAAUGACAAGCAGCAUAUAUAGAUCAGCUGGCUACUAUACCGUGCACUGCAGGUGAUCUCAUCCAACCAUCACAAGGACACACGCGCAUGCACGAGCUAUCUAAAGCUUAAAAGCCAGGAUCGAAUAAUUGAGCAGGCAGCUAAUGUAAGCUUAGCUAGGCCCAGGUUGUUGUUCACGUUUGCUUAGCAUUAUUCAUCAACCGGCAGCUUUCUCUCCUCUUCUUCUUCUUCUCCUUUUCCUUUCCUGGAAGGGUGUGAACUCAGAUCCUUGCCUUGUUUACACAUCAACCUAAGAAUCUUACUCUACAUGUCGGUGCAUUAGCUAAUGCAUCACCCACUUAAAAAAUAUAGAACAAAUACUUAAGAAUCUCUAAAAAAAAUUAUGUGCUAUAAGAUUUUGAUACGAAAAACUAUCGAGCCAUACAUAUAAGUCGAAAUUUGGAAUUGAUUUGAUAUGUUUAUAGAUCGUGACUCACGGAGCACCCCAUGAGCCAUGAGUCACCGCAGCAAAAUUCUCUCGCUUUGUAUAAAAUUUUCUUGCCGAGAAAAACACUAGUCGAAUUAAUGACCGAGUUAAAAACUGGCAAGAAAAAAAAAUGAUGUCAAAUCAAUUGAAAUGGCGUGAAGAAUACCGAUGUACGUAGCCCAGAUACCAAUCAUGGUACAGCAAUUAAUUCGUGGACGUAUUGUACGUUCGUAUACACCGUACGUACGUACGUACGCGCGUAUAGCGGCAAGUAUGUAGUAGAAAUUCUCCGUUGCAUCGGCAUCGCCCAUGCAUGCAUGCAACCACACGAUCGAUCGAAUUAACGUACAAGGCGGGGCCGGCGGUGGCGCCGGUGCAGGCGUGCAGCAAUGGCGGUGGCGGCGGCGGUGGGACAGACGGAUGUUGGGCUACGCGCGGCGGCGCAGCUGGCAGUCCGGCGUGGCCGUCGACGGCUGCAUCCGGAGCUGCUCGUAGAACUUGCUGAUGAAGUCCUCGAACUCGGCGUCGACGCGCUGCUCGCCGCCGCCUCCGUCCUCUGGCACGGCGGGGAACGGCGAGUCGGUGACGCGGAGAGGGCGGACCCCGGCCGGGCUGCGGCCGAGGAUCCACGCCACCAUN
Molecule: long non-coding RNA, 1153 nt
Filed under: Oryza brachyantha (malo sina)
Lineage: Eukaryota; Viridiplantae; Streptophyta; Magnoliopsida; Poales; Poaceae
Description: long non-coding RNA (OBRA_LNC001344)
Source: RNAcentral